CCCUUACCGAACUCGGAAGUGAAACGUCUUAGCGCCAAUGGUAGUGUAGGGAUUCCCUAUGCGAGAGUAGGUCAUCGCCA
Molecule: ribosomal RNA, 80 nt
Filed under: Amphritea balenae
Lineage: Bacteria; Pseudomonadati; Pseudomonadota; Gammaproteobacteria; Oceanospirillales; Oceanospirillaceae
Source: RNAcentral